RNAcentral lists this long non-coding RNA (3382 nucleotides) under Homo sapiens (human). RNAcentral's name for it is "HSALNT0312234". The record is from RNAcentral. Lineage: Eukaryota; Metazoa; Chordata; Mammalia; Primates; Hominidae.
CAUGUUUGCUUCCCCUUCUGCCGUUAUUGCAAAUUCCCUGAGACCUCCCCAGCCAUGCAGAACUGUUAGUCAAUUAAGCCUCAUUCCAUUAUAAAUUGCCCAGUUUCAGGCAGUUCUUCACAGCAGCAUGAAAAGGGACUAAUACAAUACUCUUAUAUGAUGAAAGUAGUUGAAACAGCAAGUUCUCUCCUUUCCGAAUAUAUGUCCUGAGACUAAACUUCUUUGAUUUCUCCAUGGAGGGGAUAGGACAUUGGGCCGAUCUCAUUGCUCCCAGCCUAGCAGGCAUCAGAACCUUAGAAGCCAUGAUUUCACUCAGUGAGUCACUGUCACAUUGGCACAUCCUAUUCCCUGUUGAUGGUGCCACCUUUUACACAAAGGCACUCAGCACAUCCUGCACUGGCAAUGAGAUGAGUCUCCCUGGCUGCCCCUUCCUCUAUGCGACCUCACAAUGAUUGCAUUGGAAGGAUUAUGACAGCAACUUCCUGCAGUCCCAUGGUGCCCAACAAAUUGAGGGUGACUCAGUGCCUCAGACAAGGAGGUAAAUGUUUCUUUUCAAUGAUUAUAAUCGUCACUCUUUCCUGUCCCCUCCUCCCCACAGUUGCUGAUACUAUAUUCCAUUAUGUUUAUAAAAAUAUUAAGGGACAUUAGUAUAAGGUGAUUAGGAUAAUAUUUAGUUACUAUUAUAAUAUAUUCUGUUUGAAAUACUAUAACUUAAGAUGUUCCAGACAUUGCACCACAGACUUUAUACAUUGUGGUGGACAAAACAUGGCCAGAAAUUUAUCAACAUUUCUGCAAUUCAGAGGAUACUGAGGCACUGUGAGGUUCACUGAAAGCUGGACUGUGAGGAAGAUUCGGGCCGUCGGACUCCAGACCCCAAGCUCUAACAUACUAUGAGGGCAUCCCAGGAGAAGGCAGAGUCCAGGAGGCGGAUGUUGGGAAGCAAAUCCUGAACUCAUCAAGUCCCAUAGCCCCUUUGUCUAUGGACCUUCUGCCAGCAUCUUCUGUAAGGUUCUAGGUAAGAGAAAGGACUCCCCUUUUCUUGGAGUGCAGAGGCUGGAAGUUAAGAGGUAUAUUCGGCAGAGGCCAGACAGGUGAGUGAAAAUGACAUGUUUAAAGAACUGAAAGAAAGUAACUAUGGCUGAAACAUGACAGGAGAGAGGGGAUGCGGAGAGAAGAGAUUGGAGAGGUAAAUGUAGGUCCCAUAUGCAGGGUCUUCAAAGCAAAGGACACUGAGAACCCAUUGCAAGGUUUUGAGCAGAAGGUGGCAUAAUCAGAUUUGGGUUUUAGAAAGACUACUCUGGCUGCCUUGUGGGGAAGAAAAAAAUGUAUGUAUGGAAUGGGAUAGAGGAGGGGUACUUAAGUUUUAUUAUGUCUGAUGGCACAAUAAUUGAUCCAUCAUCUUGGGUUUAACCCAAGGGUAGUUGGGGAGGUAGGAGAGCAGGAGAAUGUAAUGUCAAAUAUGGCCAUCACUUACUGGCAUUGAGAAAUAUGAGGCAUAGUGCUCAAUAGAUAUUACAUGUGUUUCUUGUGGUGGGCCAACAGUCCCCACCUCCUGCUAUUCACACUCUUAUAUACUCCACUCUUUUUGAGGGUGGACUGGAUCUAGUGACUUCUUUCUAGUGAACAGAAUACAUCAAAAAUAAUGAGAUGUCGCUUCCACACUUGCGUUUAAAAAGACGGUGGCUUCCACCUUCUGGCAUUCUCUCUGUUGCUGUCACUUACUUGGUCUGAUGAAGCUCUCUAUGGAGAGGCCCACAUAGCAAGGAAUUGAGGGCAGCCUCCAGUGAUCAGCCAGAGACUACUGAAGGUUUCAGUCCAACAACCUAUGAGGAACUGAAUCCUGCCAGCAAUCAAUGACUGAGCCAGGAAAUGGAUCCAGCCCCAGUUGAGAGGACUAUGGCUCUAGCUGGCACCUUCCCUGUAGCCUGGGCAAGACCCUGAAACAGGAUUCAGGUAAGCUGUACCUGGCUUCCUGACCCACAGAAACUGAGAGAUCGGAAAUACGUGUUGUUUUAGGAUGCUAAGUUUUAGGGUAAUUUGUUACACAGCAACAUAGAACUAAGGCACUACUAUAUGAUGUCACAGAAGGCAAGAGAGGUACAGUAUUGAGAAGAGAAAGUGACUAGCAUUGUCACAUGUGACAGGGAGAUCAAAGAUAACCCAGGAUGGUAAGGAACGAGAAAGCAUUGAGUCUGGCAAGUAGGCAGGUAGCAUGAUUUGCAAGGAAGCAGUGAGAGUACGCUAGGUGGGCUGGAGUAGAAAAGGCUUGCCUUGGCAGGGAGCACCUGUUUAUUUGUCAAGGAUGUCCUGGCCAGCCUGUCCUCCUAGAGACCCCACAUUAUGCCCCAUGCUUCAGGGAGGGGCUGCAUUUACUCAGGAGUAGACUACUUAGAGAAGCCAAGCUCACAGGACCUCAAGACCACACAGGAAGCAACAGGUGAUAAGGGGAUUUGAAAUUAGGCGAACCAUCUUUCUGUCCCCUUGCUCUUGACCACUGUUUUACUGCCCUCUUUCAGUCUUUAACGAUUUCUUUAAUAACUCUUUCAUUUGUUGGCAUUUAUUGUGUGACAGGCACCGGGGAUUCAAAGGAAAGUAACUUAUAGAUGGCCCCUUCCCUGGGGAAGUUUACCACCCUUUGGGGACAGAUCACCAAAAUCCUCUUCCUUGCUGGCACCCAUUGAGCACUUCCUGUGAACCAGGCUCCGUGCUAAGCCCUGUACCUGGGAUAUCUUAUUUAAGCCUCAGAACUCUUAUCUCCAGAGUAAUGGUUCACCUAUCUCUUGCCCUGGGAGGCUGACACCUGUAGACUGCAUCUCACGCUCUCCUUGGCCAGCUAGCUUCAAGUUGAGUUCAGCUAGAAAACAACCCUGACAAGGAAAUGAGAAGUUUCUUCAAUCAACCCUUAUUUUUCUUUGCUGUGAGGACCAGGAAGGAACCAAUCUGUUUAAAAACUGUUGCCCGCUGGUGGCUCGUUGCCAGGUCUGAGAUAACACUGGUGGUCCCUCUGAGGGCUGAGGACGCAUUCCCCGGGUACUGCAAUCAGAGCAGACGCAUGUGCAGCUGUGGAUGGAGGGAGCUGACGUGUUCUCUCCGGGAGCAGAGGAGCAAAUGUCACGAGAAAAGCCCUUGAAAAUGGUUCUCAUCCCUUUCUCCAUCGCAGACAACCCAGAAUAAACUGUUCUGAAAUGUUGACGUUUAAUAAUAUUAAUAUUAGUAAUGGCUGGAAAGGGCUUCUGGUAAUGAGAUUCCAGGAUAAAUAGGUCACUGGGUUUUCAUUGCUUAUCAAUGAAGUUCCCAAAAAGAUCUUUUUUAAGGAAAUAGGCUCAUGUAAACUUUUUUUUUUUUAAAAAAAGGAAGGAAAUACAUUGUCUUUAUAAUAAGG